RNAcentral lists this small nuclear RNA (178 nucleotides) under Papilio xuthus (Asian swallowtail). RNAcentral's name for it is "U2 spliceosomal RNA". It matches the Rfam family "U2 spliceosomal RNA". Rfam says of the family: U2 is a small nuclear RNA (snRNA) component of the spliceosome (involved in pre-mRNA splicing). Complementary binding between U2 snRNA (in an area lying towards the 5' end but 3' to hairpin I) and the branchpoint sequence (BPS) of the intron results the bulging out of an unpaired adenosine, on the BPS, which initiates a nucleophilic attack at the intronic 5' splice site, thus starting the first of two transesterification reactions that mediate splicing. Lineage: Eukaryota; Metazoa; Arthropoda; Insecta; Lepidoptera; Papilionidae. The record is from Rfam by way of RNAcentral.
AUCGCUUCUCGGCCUUUUGGCUAAGAUCAAAGUAUAGUAAAAGUACUUCGAUUUUUAAUUACGGUCGUUAGACAAAAGAUAUUUUAAACGAUUUGUGAAACAUUUUAGCAAUACAAUACUGAAGCUGCGUGUAACGCGUCCAUUUUCUUGCAUAACUCCGGAAAGUUACGUAACGUGA